GACGAACGCUGGCGGCGUGCUUAACACAUGCAAGUCGAACGGAAAGGCCCUGCUUGCAGGGUACUCGAGUGGCGAACGGGUGAGUAACACGUGGGUGAUCUGCCCUGCACUUCGGGAUAAGCCUGGGAAACUGGGUCUAAUACCGGAUAGGAGCCAUUUUUAGUGUGAUGGUUGGAAAGUUUUUUCGGUGUAGGAUGAGCUCGCGGCCUAUCAGCUUGUUGGUGGGGUAAUGGCCUACCAAGGCGGCGACGGGUAGCCGGCCUGAGGGGGUGGACGGCCACUGUGGGGCUGGGACCCGGCCCAGGCCCCCGCGGGGGGGCGGGGGGGGGAUAUUGGCAAAAGGGGGGCGAGCCGGGUGGGGGGCCCCCGGGGGGGGGGGGGCGGCCUUGGGGUUUUAAACCCCUUUCCGAGGGGAAAAAGUUUUUUGUGACGGUAAUUAGAAAAGAAGCACCGGCUAACUACGUG
Molecule: ribosomal RNA, 465 nt
Filed under: uncultured bacterium
Lineage: Bacteria
Description: partial 16S ribosomal RNA
Rfam family: Bacterial small subunit ribosomal RNA
Source: RNAcentral